RNAcentral lists this transfer RNA (69 nucleotides) under Ochrogaster lunifer (bag-shelter moth). RNAcentral describes it as "transfer RNA-S2". Lineage: Eukaryota; Metazoa; Arthropoda; Insecta; Lepidoptera; Notodontidae. The record is from RNAcentral.
AAUUAAUAAGCUUAUAUAAAAGCAUUUGUUUUGAAAACUUAAGAAAGAAUACUAAUAUUCUAUUAAUUU